RNAcentral lists this ribosomal RNA (253 nucleotides) under uncultured prokaryote. RNAcentral describes it as "partial 16S ribosomal RNA". It matches the Rfam family "Bacterial small subunit ribosomal RNA", at positions 524 to 776 of the family's 1533-position model. The record is from RNAcentral.
GACGAACCGUGCGAACGUUGUUCGGAUUCACUGGGCUUAAAGGGCGCGUAGGCGGACCCGCCAGUCUGGGGUGAAAUCGUUCGGCUUAACCGGACCAUUGCCUUGGAUACUGCGGGUCUCGAGGGAGGUAGGGGCAUGCGGAACUUCCGGUGGAGCGGUGAAAUGCGUUGAUAUCGGAAGGAACUCCGGUGGCGAAAGCGGCGUGCUGGAUCUCUUCUGACGCUGAGGCGCGAAAGCCAGGGGAGCAAACGGG